Molecule: long non-coding RNA, 305 nt
Filed under: Homo sapiens (human)
Lineage: Eukaryota; Metazoa; Chordata; Mammalia; Primates; Hominidae
Description: LHRI_LNC878.1
Source: RNAcentral
GAGAUGGGGUUUCACUAUGUUGGCCAGGCUGGUCUCGAACUGCUGAUCUCAGGUGAUCGCCCGCCUCAGCCUCCCAAAGUGCUAGGAUUAUAGGCGUGAGCCACCACGCCUAGCCUACCCUAAUAUACUUUCUAUGAGAGUUGUACUUUGAAUUUUUCCGCUUUACUAAAGUACUUCUGAUCUGACCACCAUACUUUUAGGGCUUGAAGCUUUGUUUCCAGAGCCAAAAAUAUGUGCCCAGUAAAAAUCCAAGCCCUGAGCCAUCAGGAAUUGACAGACGCCCUCAGAUUAAAAACAAACUCUAG